AGGAUUUUUUUCGCCCCACCAUGGGAAUCAACACCCCGCCCCAAAUCUCCUACGGGAGGGCUGCAGUUGGGAAUUCUUCCCACAAGGGGCGAAAACCCUGGAGGGAGCAACCGCCGCGUGUGUGAUGAAGGCUUUCCGGGUCGUAAAGCACUGUUGUAUGGGAAGAACAGCUAGAAUAGGGAAUGAUUUUAGUUUGACGGUACCAUACCAGAAAGGGACGGCUAAAUACGUGCCAGCAGCCGCGGUAAUACGUAUGUCCCGAGCGUUAUCCGGAUUUAUUGGGCGUAAAGCGAGCGCAGACGGUUGAUUAAGUCUGAUGUGAAAGCCCGGAGCUCAACUCCGGAAUGGCAUUGGAAACUGGUUAACUUGAGUGCAGUAGAGGUAAGUGGAACUCCAUGUGUAGCGGUGGAAUGCGUAGAUAUAUGGAAGAACACCAGUGGCGAAGGCGGCUUACUGGACUGUAACUGACGUUGAGGCUCGAAAGUGUGGGUAGCAAACAGGAUUAGAUACCCUGGUAGUCCACACCGUAAACGAUGAACACUAGGUGUUAGGAGGUUUCCGCCUCUUAGUGCCGAAGCUAACGCAUUAAGUGUUCCGCCUGGGGAGUACGACCGCAAGGUUGAAACUCAAAGGAAUUGACGGGGACCCGCACAAGCGGUGGAGCAUGUGGUUUAAUUCGAAGCAACGCGAAGAACCUUACCAGGUCUUGACAUCCUUUGAAGCUUUUAGAGAUAGAAGUGUUCUCUUCGGAGACAAAGUGACAGGUGGUGCAUGGUCGUCGUCAGCUCGUGUCGUGAGAUGUUGGGUUAAGUCCCGCAACGAGCGCAACCCUUAUUGUUAGUUGCCAGCAUUCAGAUGGGCACUCUAGCGAGACUGCCGGUGACAAACCGGAGGAAGGCGGGGACGACGUCAGAUCAUCAUGCCCCUUAUGACCUGGGCUACACACGUGCUACAAUGGCGUAUACAACGAGUUGCCAACCCGCGAGGGUGAGCUAAUCUCUUAAAGUACGUCUCAGUUCGGAUUGUAGUCUGCAACUCGACUACAUGAAGUCGGAAUCGCUAGUAAUCGCGGAUCAGCACGCCGCGGUGAAUACGUUCCCGGGUCUUGUACACACCGCCCGUCACACCAUGGGAGUUUGUAAUGCCCAAAGCCGGUGGCCUAACCUUUAGGAAGGAGCCGUCUAAGCAGACAGAGGCCGA
This 1200-nucleotide ribosomal RNA is filed under the name Leuconostoc pseudomesenteroides. RNAcentral describes it as "bacterial SSU rRNA". It matches the Rfam family "Bacterial small subunit ribosomal RNA", at positions 292 to 1477 of the family's 1533-position model. Lineage: Bacteria; Bacillati; Bacillota; Bacilli; Lactobacillales; Lactobacillaceae. The record is from RNAcentral.